GCUUAGAUGAGGGGUGAUAACGAGGAAGCUUGCUUCCGAAGUGAGUGAUACCCUGCUUCCAGGAAAAGCCACUAAGCUCCAGCUACACACGACCGUACCGCAAACCGACACUGGUGCGCGAGAUGAGUAUUCUAAGGCGCUUGAGAGAACUCUGGAGAAGGAACUCGGCAAAUUGACACCGUAACUUCGGAAGAAGGUGUGCCUUUAGUAGGUGAUCCUGUACAAGGGGAGCCCAAUGAGGCCGCAGAGAAUCGGUGGCUGCGACUGUUUAUUAAAAACACAGCACUCUGCAAAGACGAAAGUCGACGUAUAGGGUGUGACGCCUGCCCGGUGCUGGAAGAUUAAAUGAUGGGGUGCAAGCUCUUGAUUGAAGUCCCAGUAAACGGCGGCCGUAACUAUAACGGUCCUAAGGUAGCGAAAUUCCUUGUCGGGUAAGUUCCGACCUGCACGAAUGGCGUAACGAUGGCCACACUGUCUCCUCCUGAGACUCAGCGAAGUUGAAAUGUUUGUGAUGAUGCAAUCUCCCCGCGGAAAGACGGAAAGACCCCAUGAACCUUUACUGUAGCUUUGCAUUGGACUUUGAACCAAUCUGUGUAGGAUAGGUGGGAGGCUUUGAAGCGGUGCCGCUAGGUAUCGUGGAGCCAACGUUGAAAUACCACCCUGGUGUGUUUGAGGUUCUAACCUUGGCCCGUGAUCCGGGUUGGGGACAGUGUAUGGUGGGCAGUUUGACUGGGGCGGUCUCCUCCCAAAGUGUAACGGAGGAGUUCGAAGGUACGCUAGGCACGGUCGGAAAUCGUGCUGAUAGUGCAUAGGCAUAAGCGUGCUUGACUGCGAGACUGACAAGUCGAGCAGGUGCGAAAGCAGGUCAUAGUGAUCCGGUGGUUCUGUAUGGAAGGGCCAUCGCUCAACGGAUAAAAGGUACUCUGGGGAUAACAGGCUGAUACCGCCCAAGAGUUCAUAUCGACGGCGGUGUUUGGCACCUCGAUGUCGGCUCAUCUCAUCCUGGGGCUGUAGCCGGUCCCAAGGGUAUGGCUGUUCGCCAUUUAAAGAGGUACGUGAGCUGGGUUUAAAACGUCGUGAGACAGUUUGGUCCCUAUCUUCCGUGGGCGCUGCAAGAUUGAGAGAGCCUGCUCCUAGUACGAGAGGACCGGAGUGGACGCACCUCUGGUGUAUCG
Molecule: ribosomal RNA, 1175 nt
Filed under: freshwater metagenome
Description: bacterial LSU rRNA
Rfam family: Bacterial large subunit ribosomal RNA
Source: RNAcentral